Molecule: long non-coding RNA, 784 nt
Organism: Centruroides sculpturatus (bark scorpion)
Lineage: Eukaryota; Metazoa; Arthropoda; Arachnida; Scorpiones; Buthidae
Exons: 5
Source: RefSeq, a predicted model, not a curated record
GAAUAACCAAGUUUCGCUGUAUAAAGAAUUUCAUCAAUAGGCAUAACUGAAACCACAAUGUCAAUAAAUUUUAUCGGAGUAUCGGUUUUAGUUAUGAUUAUCGAUAAAAUAUUUAAUUUUAUUUAAUUUAGAUAUUUUGAUUUAAGAAUUUGUGACUGUGCGGGAUUCCAAACAAAACGUUCAAGAAAUUCAAAUCCAUUCUGGGACAAAUUGACAGAUUGAAGAAAAUAAGAAAACGUUGUUUAAAAUAAGAGAAUUAUCUGUGUAUAUAGACGACCGUUGCAAAUAUAUGGGAAACAGAUUUCCCUUUCAAUUCAGGUCUAUUUUUGUGAAUAAGAGAGCGAAACAAUUAAUGGUAUUUAUCUCGAUGCGAAUAUAUCAGAAUCGAAUUCAUUUUGUAUAAUGGAGGAUGAAAGUAUACUGAUGUGUAAAUUAUGUAAAAAGGUAUUCAAUGGGAAAAUACCUUACGGCCAACAUAUGAUGUCUUCAAAACAUUUAAAGAAGAAGAAGGAGAUUCUAAUUUCUGUUCUAUGCAGAGAUGAUACUUUGUCUGGAAGCAGCAAAGAAUUAAGAGAAGAAGCGAACUCAUCUGGGAUAACAUCCGAUUCUCCUUCCAGAAAAGAACAAGAGACAGAUACUUCUACGGAAAAAUCUGUUAUGAAAGGCUGUAUUUGUUGUGGAAUUGCCGAAUUUAUCGAUACAAUGUCAUUAAUUGAGCACCUUCAUAGUUCCGAUCAUGUUAGAAGAUCUUAUGAGAAAGUUUAACAUUUCGAGAAUGUUAACG